This is a long non-coding RNA of Fundulus heteroclitus (mummichog), 2103 nucleotides long. RefSeq lists it as uncharacterized. The transcript is spliced from 3 exons. NCBI's taxonomy places the organism in Eukaryota, Metazoa, Chordata, Actinopteri, Cyprinodontiformes, Fundulidae. The record is from RefSeq and is a predicted model, not a curated record.
CUCAGCUACAAGAUUAUGUGCUGACUGAACUUGAUUGCUCAGCUGUGUAUCUUUGUUGACAACUGAGGCUGUAAACUAUCUGUUCCCCCACCCUUCAGUACAGCCUCAGUCCUGUAACUUGGGAAACGCCCCAAACUUAAUAAAACCGAGGAGAACGUUGAGACCGGCAGAGUGGGUUGGAGAUUGUAACUGUGCGGUCUCUUCCUACUCUCUUCGAGAAUGAAACUAAACUAAUUGUCUGUGUGCCUUUCUUUCCUUGUUUGUAUGAUGUUCUAGGUGCUUAGACCUGACAUUAACUUGGUCCUUCGAGCCGGAUACCAACAUACCUGAAAUUACUGGUGGACGCGGGUGAAAUCCAGAAAGACUGUGGCCACAGCAGGACUGAAGAGUCCUUCAGACCCUUUAACGGGACUGGGUUUCCCCCCGUCCCCUAGGAUUCUGAAGGUUGACGGUGAUCCGAGGGAUUAAGGCACAAAGGAGGACAGCGGAGUCCUGUAAAUUUCAUCAGAUGCCAGUGCCAGAUUGUCUCAAGCCACCUGUAGGAGCAUUCCAGCGUUCUUUAAACUGCCUGCCUUUUACCUGACCUGACCUGAUUCUGCCUUCAGUUACCGAGCCUGCCCUUCCUUGUUCUGAUUCUGCCUGUCUGCCUGGAGAUCUGACCCCUGCCUGUGAGUACUGGAUUCUGCCUAACCCUUGUGAUUCUUUUGAGCCCCUGUUAUCGGACCUGGAAUGGAUGUGAACCCCUCCUUUCGGAUUUUCCUAUUUUUCCUGCUGCUGGAUAACUGCCUGUCUGUGAUCGGACCCGGACCCCUCUGGAUAACACCCCUGGAAGCCCCUAAACGGAUUGUCUGCCCUCCUGUGGUCGCUCUACGGCACGGACCGCGGAACCGCUUCAGCCCUGAAACCCCGGCCCGAAGCUAGAUCCCAGGCUCCGGAGUCACGCUACUAGGUUAGUGAUCCAGCUUCUCUCACUCUUGCCCGUUACCACCAGCUGAUCACUAACCUGUUGUCUCUGCUGCAGGGAAGUUUCCAGUCUAAGAGCGAACAGCGAGUCCUGAAUGCCUGCGUCGGCUUACCUUUUAAUAAACUUGUUAAAAACGACACUGACCUGUCUGGUUUUAAUUCUGGGUCCAGUUUGUACGUUAUAGUACAAUCUGGCCAGUAUGGAUCCAACACCGGACGGUCAGUGGCGCGCAGGAGUUGAAAAGUCAAUUUCUCAACUAGAAACCAGCGUUGCCGAAAUUCUCGCUUAUCUCCGCAGCCAGGCUGCUCCAGCCCCGUCACUUCUGCAAACAGCUGUCCCAGCCGUCGCGUCACAUACCAAGAUGUCAGCUCUGCCCAAACGGCGUCUUUUACCGCCUGAACGCUACAGCGGUGAUCCCGAGCAGUGCCAGGCGUUUCUCACACAGUGUGAGAUCAAGUUCGAGCUACAACCAUCUGCUUACCCACUGAUCGCUGUAAAGUGGAUUUUGUUAUUUCUCUGUUGGCAGGCAAGGCUAAAUUAUGGGCAGCCUCUGAGUGGCAAAAGAUUCCCCUAUCUGACACUUGUAUUAUGCUUUCUCUCAUGAGCUGCCCAGAGUAUUCAGCCCCGUGUUACCCUGCCGAGAGUCCUCAAGGGGGCUUUUAGCCCUCAGGCAGGGUGACAAGUCAGUUUCUCGGUUUAUUAUUGAUUUCCAUCUGUUGGCUGCAGAAAGUCCCUGGAAUGAACCGGCCCUGAUGGACGUUUUCAUUUCUGGUCUUAAUGAAAAAAUUAAGGAUGAGUUGUCCACACGGGAUUUUCCAAAAACCUUAAAACAACUGGAGGAACUGGCCACCCGGGUUGGCCAAGCACGACUGGAACCUGAGGCAGACAGGGCUGCCUCAGGUUCCAGUCGUUUAAAAUUACAUGUGGGUUGACACCACUUUAAACACACAAAAUGCUAUUUAACUGUCUGUGCUUCGCUGCACAGACAUGCUUAACCCCACCCCUCUCCAUGGUCUGUAUUGUUGGAAACUAGAGAUGCCCACUUUGAAUAGUCUUGUUACUGAGAAGUGCUUAAUAAAAAUACUUGACUUACCUUGCAUUUUAAACAAGGUAUGGCAUGUCUUUGUCUGAUCUGUGCA